RNAcentral lists this long non-coding RNA (1208 nucleotides) under Taeniopygia guttata (zebra finch). RNAcentral's name for it is "lncRNA (ENSTGUG00000022161.1)". Lineage: Eukaryota; Metazoa; Chordata; Aves; Passeriformes; Estrildidae. The record is from RNAcentral.
GCAGAGACAGAAUGUAUUUAUUUUUCAAUUAAAAAGCCCUAAAACAGUGACAAAGCCACAAGGGUCAGAAUAAAGUGUUCCUCCACUAAAGAGAACAAUGUUUCCUAUUUGAUGUCUCUGAAGUCAGGACUGCAUCUUCCCAGGCAAUCCUUUGCAAGGAUUUUUUUUUAAUCAGUCAUUGAAAUCACAGGCAGAAGCCACAACUCAUUGUUUGCAUGUACUGGGACUGGGAAAGCAAAAUUCCAAAGCCACAUGUGUCAGAAUUAAUUCAUGUCACAGAUCAAAAAGAAAGAGUAGUAAGUGCCGCAGUGACAGUUCCACUGGCUUUGUGGAGCUCAAAGGAAAACAAGAGAGGCAUUUUCAGGAUCAGAGGAGGUUGAUUUCCCCCAUACUGGUUAUUCCCCUCUCUUUAAAGUAUUUCCUUCCAGCAGCAGAGAUUCAUGGAUUUACUCUUUGGAGUCCACCUGCUCCUCAUCAACCAAAGGAACCUGAUGGCCACAGAGCCUUAAAAACCUGGCAGAGCUAAAGCUGUAUCCAAAAAUCCCAGAAUCCCAGAAUGGUUUGGGUUGGAAGCACCUUAAAUCCCACCCAGUGCUACCCCUGUCAAGGCAGGGACACCUCCACUGUCCCAGGCUGCUCCAAACCCAGUGUCCAGCCUGGCCUUGGGCACUGCCAGGGAUCCAGGGGCAGCCCCAGCUGCUCUGGCAAUUCCAUCCCAACCCCUCCCAGCCAGGAAUUCCCAAUUUCCCAAUGAUUUGUGCCCAGCUGGAGCCAUGGGGCCAAUCUCCAUCAUGGAGAGGCUCCCAUGCCACGACACCAAGGGGCACCAAGAAAGCAGCAGGGAGGAGGGAACCCUUCCCCUCUCCCAAAACACAGAGCAGAGAUUUAUUUCCGAGGCUUUUGAAAGCCCAUGGAAGGCAGAGGAGCCCAAACCUGUGGAUGCAGCUCUGCCCAGAGACCCCCCACCCUCAGCACCAGCUCUGGAGGCUGCUCUGGCCUCCAGUGGGAUUUCAUGAGCAUUCCCAGAGCUCUCAGGAGUGCAAAGCAGCCACUGCUGGUGGAACAAACAUCCACAUCAGGGAAUUUCCUGCAGAAGGGAAGUGCAGCCAAAAAUGCCAGGAGGAACUGGGCAGGGCAGAGGUGCUGCCUCAAGGAGGGAUGGCACAGAAAUGGAGAGCAAAUGAACUUCCCACACAGAUAUCCCCUAA